GAGUACCGUCCGGUUCCGCCCCGGGCAGGACUGAAGGCGAUGGCCUCCGGAGGGCCUGUGCAAAUGUAUACUUUGAGGUCUGGCGGGUACCCCAACCUCCGGUUUUAGGAUCGCCCUUCCUGUAGGUGACACUUGGUUUCAUGCGUGCUCUCUCCAGCUGCAGGAGCUGGAACUGGGAGCAGCUGCCGCAGGCAUCCCUGUCCAACUCCUAUUAACUGUCUCUCAGGGCAUCAGACAUCCGGUUGCCACGUUGUGCCCCUAACACACUUGUUCUCAACGCCAGUAGAAGUUGCUCCCUCAAAGAGUCUCGCAAGGACUUUGUAAGAAAUCGACAUCUCCUGCCUUCCCUAUCUUCUUUGGAUCGGUGAUUCAGAUAUUUGAGCUCACAUUUCCUAAACCGCCAUUGCUAAGAUUCCAAAUAUAGUCCAUCGACAUUUU
Long non-coding RNA from Microtus ochrogaster (prairie vole), 438 nucleotides. RefSeq lists it as uncharacterized. NCBI's taxonomy places the organism in Eukaryota, Metazoa, Chordata, Mammalia, Rodentia, Cricetidae. The transcript has 2 exons. The record is from RefSeq and is a predicted model, not a curated record.